CUGGUUGGUGUCCACGAUGUGGCCGUGCAGCAGCCGCAGCCACACAAGGUCGUUGUGCAUGCCGUGGCCCACCAGGAUGGUGCGGGGCCCCAUCAGAGCCAGCAGCUUGGCGUGCACGUCCCGCAGCGUGGUGGUGACGCCGCGCAGGUCAGCGGCGGUGAGGCCCGAGAAGGGCGUGUUGUAGUCGAGGACGUGGCCCUCGGGCUUCACCAUGGUCUCGUAUACCGGCCGGCAGCGGUGGUCCACCACGGUGAGCGCCACCACCUCGUACCCGCGGGUCGUGGCCACCAUCUCGCAGUCCAGCGCCAACACAGACCUGUCGUGCGCGGCGCCGCUGCUCGUGCUGAUGAAGCCCGUCAGGUUGGCAGGGUCGAUGUUACAGUGGAUGUGGUAGUCCGAGGUCUGGCAGGACUGGCCGCCUUGGCGAUGCCCGCAGCACGGGUGCACGCCAUUCCUGGCCCGCUGCAUGUGCCACUUGCAGGUCUCCCGCACCGCCGGCCACCCCUCG
This is a long non-coding RNA of Eriocheir sinensis (Chinese mitten crab), 508 nucleotides long. RefSeq lists it as uncharacterized. NCBI's taxonomy places the organism in Eukaryota, Metazoa, Arthropoda, Malacostraca, Decapoda, Varunidae. The transcript is spliced from 3 exons. The record is from RefSeq and is a predicted model, not a curated record.